RNAcentral lists this unclassified non-coding RNA (347 nucleotides) under soil metagenome. Its description in RNAcentral is "partial contains 5.8S ribosomal RNA, internal transcribed spacer 2, and large subunit ribosomal RNA". The stretch from base 1 to 119 matches the Rfam family "5.8S ribosomal RNA", at positions 35 to 154 of the family's 154-position model. The record is from RNAcentral.
GAUGAAGACGUAGCGAAAUGCGAUACGUAAUGUGAAUUGCAGAAUUCAGUGAAUCAUCGAGUCUUUGAACGCACAUUGCGCCCCCUGGUAUUCCGGGGGGCAUGCCUGUCCGAGCGUCAUUGCUGCCCUCAAGCACGGCUUGUGUGUUGGGCCCCGCCCCCCGGCUCCCGGGGGGCGGGCCCGAAAGGCAGCGGCGGCACCGCGUCCGGUCCUCGAGCGUAUGGGGCUUCGUCACCCGCUCCGUAGGCCCGGCCGGCGCCCGCCGGCGACCCCCCUCAAUCUUUUCAGGUUGACCUCGGAUCAGGUAGGGAUACCCGCUGAACUUAAGCAUAUCAAUAAGCGGAGGA